UGCGUUUGUAGAUGGAAGGAAGAACUUGUGUGCUUAGACCUGACGCUGGGAGGAGAUGCUGCCACCUAGGUUACUUGUAGGACCCUAUACGGCAACCUCCUUUGCCAGGAACUAUUUAUAAACAUCCUGCAGGAAAAUGGUAGCUGAGACCAAUGAUGCUGACCUCCCUCAAAAGCUGCAUUUCUGAAUUUCUGAAGGCAAACUGUCUGCCUAUAUUGUACAGCAAAAUAAUUUCCUGUAUUAAAACGUUUUUAUUGCUCUAAAUUUCUAGAUUAAACUCUGCUUAGGUAUUGCUAAGAGGGUAGCCAAGUAUAGAAACUUAAAUUUACUGACAGAAAUCUAGAGAAUGCUUAAUUUUUUUUCCAGCAGUGAAGUAGAAGAGACAGGGAUAUCCCAGAAGGUUAUGCAAAACAUCAAGAGAAGAUGAGAGGUACUCUGUGAUGUCGUAAGGAUAAGAAAGAUCAAGGGAUCAGGAAAAUGAAGAUUUUAGCUUCAUUCAUCUUAACGAGGUUAACAGACAUGAUUUUCCCACUCUCCUUCAACACUCACAUAUCAAUUUCAUAUUUGUGGAAAGUUUUCACUUACAACACUCAGUAUAUACCACUUAGAAUUAUGAAAGUAUAUCCUGUAGGGCAGAUCCACAUGCAGAAGAAUGAAACUAGACCCCUAUCUCUCACCAUACACAAACAUCAAAUCAGAUGGAUUAAACACUUCAAUCUAAGACCUCUCACUAUGAAAUGACUAUGAGUAAACAUUGUAGAAUAUUCAUCUGGGAAAAAAUUUCUUGCCCCACAAGCACAGGCAACCAAAGUCAAAAUGGACAAAUGGGAUCACAUCAAGUUAAAAAGUUUCUGCACAGCAAAGGAAACUAUCAGUAAAACAUAGAGGCAACUCACAGAACUGGAAAAAAUAUUUGCAAACUCCUCAACCAACAAGGGGUUAGUAACCAGUGUAUAUAUAAGGAGCUCAAACAACUCUACAGGAAAAAAAAUCUAGCAAUCGAUUAAAAAUGGACAAAGGAUUUGAAUAGACAUUUCUCAAAAGAAGAUAUACGAAUGUCAGAAAAGCAUAUAAAAAUUUGCUCAACAUCACUGAUUGUCAGUGAAAUGUAAAUCAAAACUACAAUGAGAUAUCAUCUGACCCCAGUUAAAAUGGCAUUUAUCCAAAAGACAGGCAAUAAUAACAAAUGUUGACAAGGACGUGGAGAAAAGGGAACGCUUGUACACUGUUGGUAGGAAUGUAAGUUAGUACAACCCCUAUGGAGAACAGUUUGGAGUUUCCUCAAAAAACCAAAAAUAGGGCUACUAUCCAAUUCAGCCAUCCUACUGCUGAGUAUACACCCAAAAGAAAGGAAAUCAGCAUAUCGAAGAGAUAUCUGCACUCCCAUGUUUGUUGCAGUAUUGUUCACAAUAGCCAAGAUUUGGAGCAACCUAAGUGUCCACCAACAGAUACAUGGAUAAAGAAAAUGUGGUACAUAUGUACAGUCAUAAAAAAAGAACUAGAUUUGAUUAUUUGCAAUAACAUGGAUGAAACUGGAGGUCAUUAUUUAAGUGAAAUAAACCAGGCACAGAAAGACAAACAUUGUGUGUUCUCACUCAUUCAUAGGAUUUAAAAAUCAAAACAAUUGAACUCACAGAGACAGAGAAUGGAAGGAUGGUUACCAGAGGCUAGGAAGCAUAGUGGGGGAAUGGGAGGAGGUGAGGAUGUUUAAUGAGUACAAAAAAAUAGAAACAAUGAAUAAGACCUAGUAUUUGAUAGCACAACAGGAGGACUAUGGUCAGUAAUAAUUAAAUUGUACAUUUUAAAACAACUAAAAGAAUAUAAUUGGAUUGUCUGUACACAAAAGAUAAAUGCUUCAGGGGAUGGCUAUCCACCAAUUUUCCACAAUGUGAUUAUUAUGCAUUGCAUGCUUUUACCAAAAUAUCUCAUGUACCCCAUAAACAUAUACAUCUAGUAUGUACCUAAAAAAAUUAAAAAUAUAAAAGAGUAUUUGUAUAAUGGAUAAGUACCAUAGAAAUAUUUGGAAGAGCAAGGAGAAAUUGGAUAUUUUUGUAAUGAUGAAAGUAUGUAUUUCUGUACUUUGCCUGUAUAUUUUUUAAGUAAAAACUGACCACAAGAUGUCACUGUUAACAUAUGUAUGGGAGGGAAAGUUGCCUUGAACAGCAGCUAGGUUUUGUGGGGCCGGUGUGGUUAGAAAUCAUUAUUUUAAAAUCCUUGGCAAUAACUAAACCUCAACAUGUUUCAGUUUUUCAAAACCACUGGAAUGUUUUUAGAGUUUGGGAAUUUUUUUUUAGUUUUGCAAAAU
Molecule: long non-coding RNA, 2305 nt
Filed under: Homo sapiens (human)
Lineage: Eukaryota; Metazoa; Chordata; Mammalia; Primates; Hominidae
Description: HSALNT0326420
Source: RNAcentral